AUGGAGAUGCUUGGCGACGGACCAGGCUUUCGUUCGUCAGCCAAUGCCAUGUACAGGGGCCGCGGCCAGUCUCAGGGCAGAGGAGGCCGCGGACGUAGAGGGCGUGGUCGCUCUGAUCGUGCUCCAUCUUCUCCUGUUCGCACCGGUGGGAACAACGGCUACCAGCAGCGUCAACGCCAGCCAUCGCAGCAGCAGUAUCAGCAGCAGCAUGAGGAGGAUUACCCCGAGUGCCAGAUAUGUUACAAAUUCCAUGCUGGUGGCGCUAGGGACUGCUGGGAUCGGUACAAGGAAGAUCGUCAGGAAAGGAAGAAGGUUAACCUCGUCACCAACUCGUAUGGCAUCGACACUAAUUGGUAUGCAGAUUCGGGUGCCACCGAACAUAUCACAAGAGAGCUUGAUAAGUUAACAAUGCGGGAGAAAUACCACGGAGGUGACCAAGUUCACACGGCAAGCGGAGCUGGACUUGGCAACGAGGAGAGUCAUCCUUAG
Molecule: ribosomal RNA, 489 nt
Filed under: Triticum aestivum (bread wheat)
Lineage: Eukaryota; Viridiplantae; Streptophyta; Magnoliopsida; Poales; Poaceae
Description: partial small subunit ribosomal RNA
Source: RNAcentral